AUACGCAGUUAUUCCUCUCAUCCAAAGUAAGAAAAACGAAUCACUGAUUGGCAUCAUUAGUGGACCAGGUGAGAGUUCCGCUUAUUAGGUACGAUUUCGACGACCAGCUCUCAGUCUCGCUCCACCGUUCACAGAGGAAGGACGUCCCAUCAGAGAGUGAAGCCAAGCAGGAAGGAAGGAAACAAGUUCGGUUUUCGUUAAACUGAAAAAAACCAAAAGCUGUCAGCCAUGUCUCUCCGCUUCAUAGUAUUGGCAGCUUGCCUCUUCUACUAUGCUGCCAGCGUGAGCAGCUUCCCGUUCUGCCCAGAAGGGUGCCCGUUGGACUGUAUGACACGAAUGGUUGUCGACAGCGACCGGUCCUGUAACAGGUGUGAGUGCGACCCCGGCAGCACAGGAUCGCCUUUUUAUUUUUACUAGAAAAUAUUAGUGAUUUGGCUUUUUUUUUUCUUAACCGGUCAUUAUUGAUCCUGUAUUUUGACCUGAAAAUGUUGGUUUUAGCGUUUUUUCCCUCUCUUUUUUCACCAUGCAAUAUUUAUGUUGUAUGAUGUUGUAUUUUGUAAAACUAUCAUCAUUUAAAAGGUUGGAAUGUAGGAAAUUUACUGAAUACUUACUGAAAUGAUUUUUAAAGCACCGUAGUGAGUUCGAGGGAAGGGAGAGUACGUGCUUAAAACCUUUGUUAAAAUGACCGUUUAAAACCAUCCUAGGUAUACGGGCAUAAAUAUAUAUCUCUGUAAUCCUUUUUGACGCUAUAUGUAUCAUUAAAUUCUGAAGCGUUAAUAGUUAAUAAAUCAUUUAAAACAA
Penaeus chinensis is the source of this 801-nucleotide long non-coding RNA. RefSeq lists it as uncharacterized. The record is from RefSeq and is a predicted model, not a curated record. Lineage: Eukaryota; Metazoa; Arthropoda; Malacostraca; Decapoda; Penaeidae. The transcript is spliced from 2 exons.